This is a long non-coding RNA of Octopus sinensis (East Asian common octopus), 634 nucleotides long. RefSeq lists it as uncharacterized. The record is from RefSeq and is a predicted model, not a curated record. NCBI's taxonomy places the organism in Eukaryota, Metazoa, Mollusca, Cephalopoda, Octopoda, Octopodidae. The transcript is spliced from 5 exons.
AAUACACCUGCACUCAGAAUAAUAGCAGACAACGGGUGUAUAUAUAAUGUCUGCUUAUAUGGGUGCAUCAUUAGUGCUAGUAACAUGGAAAAAAAAAAAGCACCCGGUAUUCAUUGUAAGGUGGCUGGCAUUAGGAAGAGCAACCUAACGUAGAAACCAUCCUAAAGUUGACGCAUGAGUUUGGAACAGCACUGUAGCUUGCCAGACCCUUUUCAAACUGUCCAGCCCUUACCAGCAUUGAAAAUAGAUAUUAAAUGAUGAUGACGAUGAUAAACACCCAGGAUUUUGAAUGGAGGCAGUUAGGUGAAUAGACUGACUCUAGCUCUUGACAGGCACUGGUGGUCACAGUAUUUACUUUGCAGUUAGAUGGUCCCGGAUCUGAUCCUGUUAGUCUGCACCUUGGAGGUCUUCAGAAGUGCAAGACGACCAGUCACAAUGUCAAAACGAAUUCUAUCCUUUCAAUGGAAGAGCAUAGACUUGAGAUGUUAAAAACUGCUUCCAUUUUACUUGAGCGUCGACCUAAUACACACCGUCUACUGUCCUUUCAUCCCAUCUUUGUGUUUAAUUCAUUUUGAGACCAGUGAAGAUAUAACCUUACACAGUAAUAAGUAACAGGAGGAAGGUUAGCAACAGA